CUUCACACUGCAUCCCAUACUGUCACCUUCCUACACAGUGCCCCUCUAUACUGUCACCUUCCUACACACUGCCUCCCCCCCACCUUCCAGCCCACGGGUAAGAGGAAGUGAAGGGGGAGGAUAAGCCCAAUUAAAUUUAAACGGCUCACCCCCAGCACUUAUCCAACAUUACACGCACUACACAGACACUACGACAUACACAACAUCCACUAGACACACUGCAUACACCACACAAACACUAGAUACACUACACACACACAAUGUAUUCAAUACACACACUGCAUACGAUACACACUAUAUCCAUGACAUGGAAGAAAGGGGAAGAAAAGAUAUGGAUGGCAGGUGGGGGGACAGAAAAGACAUGGGUUCUUCAAUCCAUAGUGUAGAUGCGAGCUCAGUGGACAGUGCGGCUACAUCUAAUGUGUGACACAUUACCUACCUGGCUGAAACUGCAGUUUGCAGAGGGAUUAAGGGAGAGUGAGUGUGUGUGAGUCUUUGGAAAAUAUAUACACCUGUUCCAAAUCAGUAUGCAAAUUAUAUUUUUCUCAUUUACCUAAAUAAUUGAUGUCAGCAUAAUUCUCAUGUUAUCAACUAUUAAGAGUACAAUUUAUUGAACAAACCUCCUAAUGAUAACAGUAUUGUUUUAAACAUAAAAAACUUACAAUGCACUGUUCCAAAUUAUUACGCACAGUAAAUUUCAAAACACUUUAUA
Pelobates cultripes (western spadefoot toad) is the source of this 712-nucleotide non-coding RNA. Lineage: Eukaryota; Metazoa; Chordata; Amphibia; Anura; Pelobatidae. The record is from the annotation of a GenBank genome assembly.